AAUCCCAUCCCAUUUUCAUGGAAUAACAGGAGGCUCUAAAUCACGUCGCCAGAGUCUCAUUGAAGUCUGGUCUGCUCUCCAGCUGGAUUGCAGAGUAAAAAAAAAAAAAAAAGGACGGGAGGAUGGGGGUGAGAUGUGGCUGCUGCACAGCUGUCCACCUACACAUCCUCCAUCUGGGGGGGGGGGGGGGGGUGGACCUCCUCGGACCCCCUGAUCCGAGGAAUGUGAAACUUCAGCAAUGUGAUGCAAGUCAGUCUUUGGAGAGGAAACUGAGGAAGUUUAGUGGCCACUCCAUUGCUGUUCGCCUGCUUAUUAUUCAAUCCUCUUCCCGCAGGAGAAUGACUUCACCACAAUUGCUAGACACAUUUUACGGAUUCCCAAGGACAGGGAGACUGUCCUGCUCGCUUAUUACAGACUCCAGGAAGAUUGGGAAUGAUCGGGAGAGCGAGGCAAACCGCUAAACAACUGUACAAACACAGACACAAGGAACCAGACAGUCCAGUCCAUCCACAGGGAGAUGGAUGCUGCUACAUCCAGGGUCGAGUCGAAGCUCACUGCUGCCACGCGUCUCCUCUCGGGAUCAAGAGGCUUUUAUGAACUGAAGACUGUAAACAUUGUGCAAUUCUAGUAUCAGCUCUGAGGAAAUGUUUUGUUACACUCAAAGCAUUCCAGUCAGCGCUUCAUAUCUUGAUAGUGGUUUGGAAAAGGCAGAGCCGUCCUGAGCAGGACAAAGCCUGUGCUGACACCACAUUAACACAGUCCAGAGCUCCUGUCAUUCUCUCGGGCUACAGAGGAGGCUGAUAAGAAGCCAGAAUGUGUGACAGGAGGAAAACACGUUACCCCUCCUGUACCCCCUGCCUCUCUCAGUCUCUCACUCCAUUUAUCCACUUCCCCAUUCCUCUGGUGAUUCUCCAUGAUAGAGAUCUUGAGAGGCUGGGAUUGGAGCUAGAAGAGAGACAACAACGUCCUGUUUCACACAUCAGAGUAAACCAAAGUGUGCAGGAUCUGGGUUCCUGCAUCCGUUUCUAUCUGCUGGGAUUCCAGUCGUGUUUUGUGGGAGAGUCUGUUUCACUUGGCUGUCGACAGAUUCAUAAACAACACCGCUGUGCGCUGUAGGGAUUUGGAUAGUGUUUCCGACAGAGACCUUCAGCCAAUGAUAAUAAUAAUCCACUGACAGGCCUAAGGUUUAGUCAUAUUAUUUUCAGAUGUGUCAAAGACUGUUAAAUGUGAGAAAACAAAGUCCGAAAAACAUGAAACCUCUCCAAACUCUCAGUCUAGACAACAAAUUCACCUGAAGCCACACACUGACCAUCAAUCUUAUGCAAACCAGAGCAGCUACAGCUCUGGCAGUGUGCUGUAUGGCUGUGUCUCUCUGCCACUCAAGAGCCCUGGCAUCACUGAAGCACACUGCGUACCCAUAAUUCACACAACACCUACGGUUCAGCCAAGCCCAUUGAGGUUAAAGCAACAGAAUAUUAAAGCAAGACGCUGGAUUUUUCUGAGAACAGCAGGAGCUUGUCGACUUUACUUGUAUGUUCCUUGGUUACGUACCCCCUUCUCACCGCAAAUCUAAUUGGUUUUGGAGCCACUACAACUUCAAAAGAGCCUCGUAAGUUAUUAGAGAAUAAAACCUUCUAUAAAUGUAGCACUCAGAAACAUAUAUCAGGGUAUUUUGCACCAUUUAACAAAACCAAAACUGGGAUUAACAGAGCUAAUGGAGCCUCAGCUUGCCAAUACAACCAAAGCAGCAACUGCAGUGACACAUAUUCCAGCUCUGUAGGAUGAAGGAUGACGACUUACAAUCAAGUGUCCACAACAAAACAGCCAUCUCCUCUCCCAUGAGACCCAGUUAUAUGAGAGAGAGAGAAAGAGACAGGCAGAGGAAGCAACCCUCAGUUGCGGUUGCAGCGCCUCGCUGUGUCCUUCCUUCCUUCCUUUCGCUGGUUGAGCCAACUCUGCAGUCUGCUCUCUGCUAUUAAUUAAACCAUUAAAACAGAUUAAUAAGCAGAGUGGGGCUGCAGUCUCGACAACAUCUGAUUGGAAUUAAGGAGGCGUGCUUUUUGGCACGAUGACCCUGAUGCCCUUCAGUGUGGUUCUUGCUCUGCUAAUUCUCCUCCUCCUGUCACUCUCUUUUUCUCUCUCUGAAUUUUAAAGACUGAUUUGAAAUAUUUAUACCUAUCUGUCGCUCAUGUCUCUCUCUUUCCGCCUUGACCGUCGGUCAUCUAAUUCAAAACUGAAAACAUGUGGGUACAGAGAGGAAGACCUUAGAGCUGGGUGUUUCUGUGGCAAACUCAGCUGUGAUUUUCUUCUUAGUCCCUCGUUCCCUCCCACCUGUCUCCUCGGCAUGAAGGGUGAGCCAUCUAGACUCAAGUCUAACAGAGCAGUAACUUAAACACAGACACACACACCCUGCAGCAGCCAGUGCAUCUGUUAGUCCUACUGCUUUCCAACAAUCACACAGACUGCUAUGUUCCUCUGUGAGUUUGCAUACUCAGGAAAAAUAAUGUAUUGGUCUUUAACUUUACAUUUAAAUGACAGAGACCACCUGCAUCAAAUUGCAACAUUACGCUGUGCAACCUGGAGAUUUAACAGGCCAAGAAUGGACAUUUAGGAGACAAAUUAACCUGUCAUUACAUAGGCCGCUGGCAAAUGUUUUAACUGUCUGUAGUGUUGGAUAGAUUUUAAGCAACACUCUCAAGCAAAACAUAAUUAAUGCACUGCCACAAAGAUCAUCUAUCAAUUCCUGCGGCGGGACCUUUCAAAGGGAAUUAAAGCCUGAAUUUGAGAGUUUCUCCCACAUAUAGAAGAGCCACUGCCUCACCACUUCUACUCAGCUAUCCAAUAUUUCUGUCUGGGGAUCAAUAAAGACUCAUUUUUUUUCUUUCUUCUCAUUUAAAAAGAGUAUUCCUAUUAUUUCUGAUUGUAGGAGUCAUCCCACCGACUGUGGAAGUGAGAAAGAGAUUUUAAUUGAAACUGUAAGGCUCUGUUGUUUUCACAUCAUUUAAAACGUUGUGGAGUUGAUUAAAUGAUAUUACCUAAAAACAUAUUUUCAGACUUUAGGGAGAUUAGGAGGAGAUUACAGGAAAGAUGAGAGGAAAGGUAAAUGUUUGCACUUUAGAAGAGGAAAAGACAAAGAGAGACAGCCCUGCUAUGUUCCAUAUUUUCACUCUCCAUCAUUCAUUCCUGUAUUUUAGCUUGUUUAGGGCUGUUGCUAUAAUUUCAUCUUGAAUUUACAGCUUAUGGACUUGUAUGAUUUUCCAAACCCCGGGAUUAAUUCCAGAUGUGUUUGCGUCACAUUAAUAUAUGCAUGGACACGCCUGUGGUUGCAUCUAACUGUUUAUAGUCACACGCAAACACAUGCAUGAGAACAACUUUUGCUGAUGCUCUUAUAUAAAAUCACAUUUAUGUGCAACAAUAAAAUAAUAAGUCCUAAAGUCCCCUAAAUUAUAAAUAACCAGUAGUAAGGAACAUAAGGGUAAAAGGCAAAGCACUCUGGCAACAGAUGAAACAGACACUUUAGCUCCUCAAAUGGAUAUGUAUGAAACAAGUGGGAGGCAAAGCAAUAAGCACCACAGAAAAAAAGGCAGUUUGUUUUAAAAUGACAGCAAUGACAGCAUUUAAAUGGAUGCAUGGGAUGUGAUUUAAAGGAGGAAAUUGAAGGUGGAGAGCAGGAUGUGGUGAGUCCAGCUGGGAAUCAGAGAGUCAGAGGUGAGGGAAGGCCACAGAGGUCUUGAACACACACAAACAUAUCACUGUCUCAGUCCUCCACCCCCCUCCACAUUAUUGGGAUUGUUGAUACCGAUCUGCCCUGUGGACAGCUUACACUGAGUGGAAAGGCUGCUCAUUUAACUUUCACCUAUAAUGAGCUCAACAGAAACCUGAGGCCAAGAGGUCCUGAGACGCUGACAGGUAAAGAAGACAAAGACAGGGGGAAGAGAAACCAUAAGGAACUCCAGCGUGUUUUAGUGCAAAAAAGUCUGUCCAAAACUCAUGUUGGUCAGUUUGUGAAAAGCAGUAAGAAACAAAAACCAGCAAAGCUAAACAUGCCACAGCCACAGCUUUUACUGGGUUUGUUGUCUGAUUAUUCAAGCACUGUUGUUUUUCAGCUGCUGUUUCCAGAGUAGAGAGAAGUGGUGGGACAUUUGCUGUUGGCGGGGAGGUCAAACCUAGCAGCACACUGUUGAGGUUUUAGUAAGAUGUCAAGUGUCAUUUUGUAUACAUACACAGAAGGGUAGCUGCUCAGGUUACAAGUGCUUUGGGUUGAUUUAUCUCUGACCUGACAGUUGUAAGGGGAAUCUGUCAGCAUCAGCGUUUGGCACAGAAUAAAUGGUAGCGAUUUACAGAUAAAAGCUCCGCUCUCUUCAUAUGCGGGCAAACUCGUGGACCUUCCAGAUAAUUUCCAAACUGUUAUGUCACUGCUUUCUGAAAGCACCUACAACUUCCAGUGAGAG
Lates calcarifer (barramundi perch) is the source of this 4451-nucleotide long non-coding RNA. RefSeq lists it as uncharacterized. NCBI's taxonomy places the organism in Eukaryota, Metazoa, Chordata, Actinopteri, Centropomidae. The transcript is spliced from 3 exons. The record is from RefSeq and is a predicted model, not a curated record.